RNAcentral lists this ribosomal RNA (468 nucleotides) under uncultured bacterium. RNAcentral's name for it is "partial 16S ribosomal RNA". It matches the Rfam family "Bacterial small subunit ribosomal RNA", at positions 28 to 507 of the family's 1533-position model. The record is from RNAcentral.
GACGAACGCUGGCGGCGUGCUUAACACGUGCAAGUCGAACGGAAAGGCCCUGCUUUUGUGGGGUGCUCGAGUGGCGAACGGGUGAGUAACACGUGAGUAACCUGCCCUUGACUUUGGGAUAACUUCAGGAAACUGGGGCUAAUACCGGAUAGGAGCUCCUGCUGCAUGGUGGGGGUUGGAAAGUUUCGGCGGUUGGGGAUGGACUCGCGGCUUAUCAGCUUGUUGGUGGGGUAGUGGCUUACCAAGGCUUUGACGGGUAGCCGGCCUGGGAGGGUGACCGGCCACAUUGGGACUGAGAUACGGCCCAGACUCCUACGGGAGGCAGCAGUGGGGAAUAUUGCACAAUGGGCGGAAGCCUGAUGCAGCAACGCCGCGUGCGGGAUGACGGCCUUCGGGUUGUAAACCGCUUUCGCCUGUGACGAAGCGUGAGUGACGGUAAUGGGUAAAGAAGCACCGGCUAACUACGUG